GUCUUUUAGAUUUAAAUUAAAAGUUUGAUCUGCCCAAUGAUUAUUGAAUGGCCGCAGUAAACUGACUGUGCAAAGGUAGCAUAAUAAUUAGUCUUUUAAUUGAAGGCUUGAAUGAACGAUUGGACGAGAAUUUAACUUUAUUUUAAUCAUUAUUUGAAUUUGAUUUUUAAGUAAAAAAGCUUAAAUAGAUAUGUGGGACGAGAAGACCCUAUAGAGCUUAAAAAACAAAUCAAUUAAUUAAUUUUGGUAUUGUCUAUUAAAUAAAUUGAUUUGUUUUUUAUGUUGGGGUGACAUUGAAAUAAUUUUAACUUUCAAUAAAUUUUUCAUUAAUUUAUGUUUUUUAGAUCCUGUUAUCAAGAUUAAAAGAGUAAGUUACCUUAGGGAUAACAGCAUAAUUAAAUUGAAGAGUUCAAAUCGAUAAUUUAGUUUGUGACCUCGAUGUUGGAUUAAGAAAAGGUUUUGGGGCAAAUUUUAUAAAAUCUUGGUCUGUUCGACCAUUAAAUUCUU
RNAcentral lists this ribosomal RNA (507 nucleotides) under Tibicinoides rubrovenosa. RNAcentral describes it as "partial large subunit ribosomal RNA". It matches the Rfam family "Bacterial large subunit ribosomal RNA", at positions 1819 to 2597 of the family's 2925-position model. Lineage: Eukaryota; Metazoa; Arthropoda; Insecta; Hemiptera; Cicadidae. The record is from RNAcentral.